Hyaena hyaena (striped hyena) is the source of this 107-nucleotide small nuclear RNA. The record is from RefSeq and is a predicted model, not a curated record. NCBI's taxonomy places the organism in Eukaryota, Metazoa, Chordata, Mammalia, Carnivora, Hyaenidae.
GUGAUUGCUCCCACAGCACAUACGCUAAAAUUGGGACGAUAUGGAGAAGGUUGGCAUGGCCCUUGCUCAAGGAGGACACACAAAUUUGUGAAGUGUUACAUAUUAAA